AGCUGGUGCUUUUUUCCUCUAAUUCAAGCCCUUUCCCUGUACUUUUACUCUCCCUUCUCUUGAAAUCUCUCUAUUUGGAAGGCUUAUAUCACAUUAUCCCAUCUGUCAUCUCUAUCUAGCUGGAAAACUCUGCUAUUCCAUAGUUUUACAGUUUAUUGUCCUCCUCUGAGCCUAUUUCAGAGGCAUUGCUGCCUCCUGGAAGGACAGAAACUAGCGUUACAUGAGAUUCAACAAGAUGCAGGCAAAGCAUGGAUUAAUGCAUAGUGUCCUGUUUUGUUCGCUGUUCCUUUCCUAACAAUCCUUAACAGUCCAUCUUCUAUUGGGAUUACUAUUGAGCUGUGAUUUUCACAGAAAUAUUUAUCAUAAACACUGAAAUUCACUUUUUGUGAUAAUGAUGCUUCAACCUCAGAAAUGAAAUAAGCAUGCAGAGCAAGGAGUGCAGCAGGGCAGCAGAAGAGAAAUCUUUAAAGACUUAUUUUGUGAGCAAUACCCCAGGGCUGGCUUCUCAGUUUAUGAAACUACACAUUAAGAAUUCAAAAUUUGUUUUCAUUCUCUGAGCUAAAGAAGGACUUAAACUGUCAGCAAAAAGGAAGAGUAAUGAAGCAAGUCAACAAAGAAAAAUGAGAAUACAACAUCAAGAGUGACUAAUGCAGUGCAGAAUAGUUCAGAAACCACUGAAACCUACAGGCUCCUAUGUCAGCCACAUCCCAGGUUUGCCUCAACUAUGGGUUUUUUCUAAACCACUGAAGCACUUCAACAUUUCAAGUGUGCAUCAAUACAGGACUUCCCAAAUUACCAGCUUAAUUUAAUUCACAAUAUGAGAUAAGAUAAUCAUCAGGCAUUUAGAAGAAAAGCUGACAGCAACAAAUAGGGGUGGGGCUCAAGAAGAUUUGAACGUGUUCAACCAAUGAAUCCUUCCCUAGCUGAAAAUUCAAUCAAAACCUGCCCGUGCCAGAAAAUAGCAUGGGUGUAUCCAGAGCCUGACAAAAACAAUCAUGUAAGACAUAAGCAUUAUCUAAUGCAUUCAUUUUUCUUGGAUUUUCAAGAGAAGAUGACAGACAAGAUUGUUUCCUUCACAGGUUGUCAGACUUCAAGAUGAACAAUGCAGAAAGCUAAAAGCCACUAUUUGAAAAGUAACUCAUAUUGUUAGCAGAAUACACACUUGGUCUUCACAAGCACU
Molecule: long non-coding RNA, 1180 nt
Organism: Gallus gallus (chicken)
Lineage: Eukaryota; Metazoa; Chordata; Aves; Galliformes; Phasianidae
Source: Ensembl